RNAcentral lists this ribosomal RNA (401 nucleotides) under uncultured bacterium. RNAcentral describes it as "bacterial SSU rRNA". It matches the Rfam family "Bacterial small subunit ribosomal RNA", at positions 29 to 418 of the family's 1533-position model. The record is from RNAcentral.
AACGAACGUUAGCGGCGCGCCUAACACAUGCAAGUCGAGCGAGAAAGGGGCAACCCCGGUAAAGCGGCGCACGGGUGAGUAACACGUAGGUAAUCUACCUUCUGGUGGUGGAUAACCUUCCGAAAGGAGGGCUAAUACAGCAUGAGACCACGGUCCCCGAGAGGGACAGGGGUCAAAGUCGGCCACUGUACACAAGCUGACGCCAGAAGAUGAGCCUGCGGCCCAUCAGCUAGUUGGUAGGGUAACGGCCUACCAAGGCGAAGACGGGUAGCUGGUCUGAGAGGAUGAUCAGCCACACUGGAACUGAGACACGGUCCAGACUCCUACGGAGGCAGCAGUGGGAAUCUUGCGCAAUGGGCGAAAGCCUGACGCAGCGACGCCGCGUGAGUGAUGAAAGGCCU